Molecule: ribosomal RNA, 46 nt
Filed under: Asparagus officinalis (garden asparagus)
Lineage: Eukaryota; Viridiplantae; Streptophyta; Magnoliopsida; Asparagales; Asparagaceae
Description: partial 18S ribosomal RNA
Source: RNAcentral
CGGAGAUCAUUGUCGAGACCCGAGCGGACGACCGUGAACUAGUAAA